CUUAAAUUUUUCCGUAAAGUAAACCAUGAAACUGUUGACUGCGACCAUUUCAACUAGUUUUAUUUCCGGAUAGCCCUUUAAGCUCCCGUUUUAGUAUAAUAACUCUUUUAAGGAUUAUAACUUGGACUUCCAAUAUGUCGACAUGGAUAAACAGCCUCAAGUCAACUUUGUAAGUGCUCCGUCACCAUGAUGUGUCGCUGUGGUUAUGCAGAUUGUUGAGAGCAAUAUGAUGAGGGAAGACAGGAAAGAGUCUUAUUGUUUGUAUGUACUCAUGGAAAAAUGGUGUUCGAGAGUUGGCGAAUGAGGAUUUGCUUGCAGCAUUGAAGAACGAUAAUAUGCAAAGAACAGAAAGAAAGGUUCUCUUAACAUAGAAAGUAAAGAAAUAAUGAAGUUCACACUACAGUUGACAAUCUGGAUGUGUUUCCUUUGCUAUUUGAACAUGAUUUAUUUUAACUUACAUAACAAGUAUGCACUACAAUAAUGACUAUCUAUAUUAAUAGUAAUGAUAUUCCAUUAAACAUGGAUAUGGAAAAAAUAUUCUUUGACAGUGCAAGAUAAGAUAAAUCCAGACAUAGUCAGAGUCUUCAGUUAACUUGGAUGUGUUCCAUUUGUUUCAUCCACAAACUUGAAAUUUGUCUUGUAACUACGUGUAUUUUUAUGAGGUUAAGUGGUGAGUAAUCAACCUUUAUCAUAACAUUUUCUUAU
Long non-coding RNA from Mya arenaria, 705 nucleotides. RefSeq lists it as uncharacterized. NCBI's taxonomy places the organism in Eukaryota, Metazoa, Mollusca, Bivalvia, Myida, Myidae. The transcript has 4 exons. The record is from RefSeq and is a predicted model, not a curated record.